UUCCUCGGUCAUGCCGGUUUUUACAGAAGGUUCAUUAAGGACUUUUCUAAGAUCUCUAGGCCUCUGGCUAAUUUAUUGCAAAAAGAUAUUCCUUUUGUCUUUGAUGAUGAUUGUGUAGAAGCAUUUGAAAUACUUAAUAAAGCCUUGAUCACUGCACCUGUUGUUCAGCCACCUGAUUGGAAUUUACCUUUUGAAAUUAUGUGUGAUGCUAGUGAUUAUGCUGUAGGUGUUGUUCUAGGGAAAAGAGUCAGUAAGAAAUUGAAUGUUAUCCAGUAUGCUAGUAAGACUCUUGAUACCGCCCAAAGAAAUUAA
This 312-nucleotide ribosomal RNA is filed under the name Triticum aestivum (bread wheat). RNAcentral describes it as "partial small subunit ribosomal RNA". Lineage: Eukaryota; Viridiplantae; Streptophyta; Magnoliopsida; Poales; Poaceae. The record is from RNAcentral.